Molecule: ribosomal RNA, 438 nt
Filed under: uncultured bacterium
Lineage: Bacteria
Description: bacterial SSU rRNA
Rfam family: Bacterial small subunit ribosomal RNA
Source: RNAcentral
AUUGAACGCUGGCGGAAUGCUUUACACAUGCAAGUCGAACGGCAGCACGGGGCAACCUGGUGGCGAGUGGCGAACGGGUGAGUAAUAUAUCGGAACGUGCCCAAUCGUGGGGAUAACGUAGCGAAGUUACGCUAAUACCGCAUACGAUCUACGGAUGAAAGCGGGGGAGUCGCAAGACCUCGCGCGAAUGGAGCGGCCGAUAUCAGAUUAGGUAGUUGGUGGGGUAAAGGCUCACCAAGCCAACGAUCUGUAGCUGGUCUGAGAGGACGACCAGCCACACUGGAACUGAGACACGGUCCAGACUCCUACGGGAGGCAGCAGUGGGGGAAUUUUGGGACCAAAUGGGGCGCAAGCCUGAUCCAGCCAUUCCGCGUGCAGGAUGAAGGCCUCGGUUGUAAACUGCUUUGUUACGGAACGAAACGGUACUGCCCUAAUACG